Ipomoea nil (Japanese morning glory) is the source of this 709-nucleotide long non-coding RNA. RefSeq lists it as uncharacterized. The transcript is spliced from 2 exons. NCBI's taxonomy places the organism in Eukaryota, Viridiplantae, Streptophyta, Magnoliopsida, Solanales, Convolvulaceae. The record is from RefSeq and is a predicted model, not a curated record.
UAUUUUUUGUUUCUCUCUUUAUUUUUUCUGACUUGUCAUUCUAUGUUCAAAUAUUCAUGCCAAAAUUUAGUGUUUUUGUAUGUAUCAAUCGGUGGUUUAAUCGUGAAAUUGAUAGGAGUAAGCUAUGAUACAUGUUGGAUUGGCAGAUAUCUAAUAAAUAUGCCUUUUUUUUUUGGAUGCUUAGAAGCUUGGAUUGGAGGAUUCACAAAAUAAAUAAAUGCAUAAUUACUGCAGUUAACUACAAAUAGCUUUUCUUGGCCUCAUAAUCAGUGAAAGUUAUUGAUUGUUCUGUUGUGAUUACUUUUUUGAAGUAUUCUGGCUUCUUGAAGUUCCAUUCUUAUAUCCAAUCUUUUGCAAACCUCAUCUCUCGGUAACAGGCAACACUAUUUGUUUAUAAAAAGAAAUGGAAAAUUUGGUUGAGGAGAAGGUUUGCCUUACUGCUACUUUUGCUAUUUGGGUGUUCGAUAUGGAUGACAAAUGGUUCUUCUGUAAGAUGAUCUCAAGCAUAUAUACCCAUUAGCAAUUUGCAGAUUCGCUCUUCAACGCUUAUGCAAAGCUUGAGGUUAAUAACUAUUAAUGGUUUUGGGCAAGGAAAUGGUUUGCUGGAUGUUUUAUUGCCCAAUUUUGUUCUUUUCUUUACCCCUAAUUUGUAAUGUCUUUGUCGUUUGUUGUAUGUCAAUUAAAAGAGAGUGAAAAUGAGGAAAAUAAA